This 732-nucleotide long non-coding RNA is filed under the name Linum usitatissimum (flax). RNAcentral describes it as "long non-coding RNA (LUSI_LNC004177)". Lineage: Eukaryota; Viridiplantae; Streptophyta; Magnoliopsida; Malpighiales; Linaceae. The record is from RNAcentral.
CAGAAUCUCAACCCAGAUGAUACUGAUUCAACUGUCAGGACUGAACGAUCAAAAGACACUGCAGAUCCCAUACAUCAGGAAGCAUUGCCUGCAGACAACCAAGAACAAAGUGAAGUAGCCUACAAACCUUCAAGCCCACCUCCAGUUCAAGAAAUGAAGAAAGUAGCAAAGAAAAGACAUAAUUUCUUCAGAAUCUGGUAUGGGUUUAGAAAGACAGAAAUGGUGCAGACUGCAGUUGGUUCAUUUGCAGCAGCAUUCUCAGGAAUAUCAAAGCCCUUUUUUGGGUUCUACAUUAUUACUGUGGGAGUAGCGUACUACCAAGGUCAUGCAAAGCGUAAGGUCGGGAAGUACUCAAUCAUCUUUUCCAUGAUUGGAUUGAUUUCCUUAUUCAGUCAUACCUUGCAACAUUACCUCUUUGGAGUUGUUGGAGAGAGAGCCAUGACCAAUCUCAGAAGCGCUUUGUACUCAGGUAUCAAUCAAUUACUUUCUACCUAUAUAUAAUGCACAACUAUAGUAAGAUAGUGCUAAGAUAUAACAAGUAAAAUCAAAGCGAUUGCAAUUAUGAACUGUAAGAUUCUGCUCACCAUGGGUUUUCUGCUAAGAUUCUACGUUUGCUUCACCAGGAGUGUCUAGAACAUAAAUUUUUUUACAGGGGAUUCUGAGACCAAUAAUUAUUGAAUUUGCAGGUGUGCUGAGAAAUGAACUAGGUUGGUUUGAGAAGCCAGACAACAC